AGUGAACGCUGGCGGUAGGCCUAACACAUGCAAGUCGAACGGCAGCACAGUAAGAGCUUGCUCUUACGGGUGGCGAGUGGCGGACGGGUGAGGAAUACAUCGGAAUCUACUUUCUCGUGGGGGAUAACGUAGGGAAACUUACGCUAAUACCGCAUACGACCUACGGGUGAAAGCAGGGGAUCUUCGGACCUUGCGCGUUUGAAUGAGCCGAUGUCGGAUUAGCUAGUUGGCGGGGUAAAGGCCCACCAAGGCGACGAUCCGUAGCUGGUCUGAGAGGAUGAUCAGCCACACUGGAACUGAGACACGGUCCAGACUCCUACGGGAGGCAGCAGUGGGGAAUAUUGGACAAUGGGCGCAAGCCUGAUCCAGCCAUACCGCGUGGGUGAAGAAGGCCUUCGGGUUGUAAAGCCCUUUUGUUGGGAAAGAAAAGCAGCAGGUUAAUACCCCGCUGUUCUGACGGUACCCAAAGAAUAAGCACCGGCUAACUUCGUG
This 492-nucleotide ribosomal RNA is filed under the name uncultured bacterium. RNAcentral's name for it is "partial 16S ribosomal RNA". It matches the Rfam family "Bacterial small subunit ribosomal RNA", at positions 29 to 507 of the family's 1533-position model. The record is from RNAcentral.